GGUGUUUACUGUCGAACUGAACACUCUACCGUUUACUGUCUGGUGGUGCUCUUCACCGAGUGUCACCAGUGGUCGGUACGUUUACUUUGAAAAAAUUAGAGUGCUCAAAGCGGUUUUUACACGACCGAAUACUGUUGCAUGGAAUAAUGAAAUAGGACUUUGGUUCUAUUUUGUUGGUCUCGGAACCAAGGUAAUGAUAGAGGGACAGACGGGGGCAUUAGUAUUGCGACGCUAGAGGUGAAAUUCUUGGACCGUCGCAAGACUAACUAAAGCGAAAGCAUUUGCCAAGAAUGUUUUCAUUAAUCAAGAACGAAAGUUAGAGGUUCGAAGGCGAUCAGAUACCGCCCUAGUUCUAACCAUAAACGAUGCCAACCAGCAAUCAGCCUGUGUUCUCUUGAUGACACGGCUGGCGGCUUCCGGGAAACCAAAGUCUUUCGGUUCCAGGGGAAGUAUGGUUGCAAAGCUGAAACUUAAAGGAAUUGACGGAAGGGCACCACCAGGAGUGGAGCCUGCGGCUUAAUUUGACUCAACACGGGGAAACUCACCCGGCCCGGACACUGUGAGGAUUGACAGGUUGAAGCCCUUUCUUGAUUCAGUGGGUGGUGGUGCAUGGCCGUUCUUAGUUGGUGGAGUGAUUUGUCUGGUUAAUUCCGAUAACGAACGAGACUCUAGCCUACUAAUUAGACCGUGGCGUCCUCGUGCCGCCACGGCGCUUCCUAGAGGGACAGACGG
Molecule: ribosomal RNA, 732 nt
Filed under: uncultured eukaryote
Lineage: Eukaryota
Description: SSU rRNA
Rfam family: Eukaryotic small subunit ribosomal RNA
Source: RNAcentral